Salvia splendens (bonfire salvia) is the source of this 2360-nucleotide long non-coding RNA. RefSeq lists it as uncharacterized. The record is from RefSeq and is a predicted model, not a curated record. The transcript is spliced from 5 exons. NCBI's taxonomy places the organism in Eukaryota, Viridiplantae, Streptophyta, Magnoliopsida, Lamiales, Lamiaceae.
UUAUUUAACCUACUGAAGCCCGCUGAACAAAUUCGGGCAUGCAGUGUUUGAUUCUAAAUACGCUUAAUUCUUCUAAAUGGCCGAAGGAGCUGCUUUAUUUUUCUUGCCUAGAAAUUCAGAUCCAGAAAUGACUUGAAGAUUACCAUUUGCCCCUGCGAUUUUUAAAUCAACCCCAACACAGAGAGAGCCCUCAUCAUUUUCCUCUCUUACAAAAAAAUGUUGACCCAACCCUAGAUUUGCAGAAAUCAAUUCCGCGGCGGAGCUCUGGUCUGAUUUGGAGGUGUACUGAAAAUAUCCGUUGCUUACUUUCCCCCAUCACCACGGGUAUACCGGAUCAAGUAUCGGGAAAGUUACAAAAUCAGAGGCUAGACAUCGUCAUCGUGCUCCUGAUCUCGUCUUCUAUAAGCCUAGGUACGCAGUUUUUCAAAAAAUUUGUGAUUUGUAUUUGCUCGGUUAUUAUUCUUCUUGCCAAAAAUAUGUUCUUUUCUUCUCUCUGUUUCUGAGAUCUGAAAUUUCAGUUUGGGAAUGCAACUUCUUCCAGAGACCACGAUAAUCUAUAUUUUUGGGUGCCAUUGUAUUAUGUUGCUAUGUUGAUAAGCCUACAACUUGCUCAUACUUUGUUAUCAAGUUAAAGCCAAUAUCCAAAUCGAUCGAUGAGUCUUUACACCACCAAAUACACGCAACUAUGCUUGUUGCUCGAGGACAUUAUGCCCAUUUAUCGUGAAGAAACCACAACAUUGUUACAUCGUUACAUCCUUGCCCGGUGUAGACGUGAGAGGCGUUGUUGAGCACGCUCAAGAAGAUCCCUGCCCAGUUGAAGUACUUAGACCAGCUACUGCACGUCACAAAUUCUGCUUGUGUAUCCAAUCUACGCAUGGACCAUAACACGUUUGAUAGGUUGUGUCGUUUACUUUCUCAGAGGGGGGCCCUGACAGUAGGUAAUGCCUCGGUGUCGAGGAGCAACCGACAAUAUUUGUAUCUGUAUUGGCACACCAUCAGAAGAAUCGAGUUGUUGGGACUACUUUUUGGCGUUCAGGUGGAACUAUAUCGUAUUAUGUACACAAGGUACUUGCUGCUGUACUUAGCCUUCAUCAUGUACUCCUUUCGAAGCCGGCACUUGUGCUAGAUGAUUGCACCGACCACCGUUCGAAGUGGUUUAAGGGUUGUCUCGGUGCGCUGGACGACACCCAUAUUAAUGUCUUAGUUCGGAAUGAUGACAAACCACGUUAUAGAAUGAGGAAAGGGCAGAUAGCAACUAAUGUUCUUGUUGUGAGUGAUCGUCAAAUGCAGUUUGUGUAUUUGCUCCCUGGUUGGGAGGGCUCUGCACGAGACUCCCGCGUACUCAGGGAUGCAGUUUCACAUGCCGGUGGGCUCAAAGUACCUCAAGGUUGCUAUUACCUUUGCAAUAAUGCUUAUGCAAAUUGCAAUGGGUUACUCACACCAUUUAAGACAGUGCGCUAUCAUCUCAAGGAAUGGGGUCCUGGCACUGAGACUCCCCAAAACCCGAAGGAAAUAUUCAACAUGCGGCAUACCAAAGCUCGAAAUGUGAUCGAACGCACAUUUGGAGUAUUGAAAAUGCGGUGGGGAAUUCUAAGGAGCGUUUCAUUUUAUCCUAUAAAAACGCAAAUCCAUCUAAUCGUGUGUUAAGGAUGAAGUUCCUCCAUGAGUACGAAGAUGAAAGCACUAAUUGUUAAGGAUGAAGUUCCUCAACUCGGAGAUUUUGCGUCGAACAUCGCGGGAGCUUUUGCCCGUCGAUCAAUCCGGCGUCAAAAUUAGGGUUUUGUGUGUUUUGCACGUUUGAAAAGAAGAAGAAUGAGAGAAGCAAUAUGCAUCCAAAAGAAGAAACGCCCAAAUGCGUUUGCGGUAGCGGGAAAAUGGAACUUAAGCGUGCCGGGCCGUCAGCGAUCAAUGCAGGGUGAUAUUACUUGAAGUGUCCAGUCGAAGGGAAGCAUACUGGGUCUUUUAAGUGGUAUGACGAGGUGGCCGGUGACACUUCGCUUCGCAGCUGCAAUAUCCAGGCUGAAAUAGGUAAACGACCUCGAGAUGUACGUGGAACAGAGACUAUAUCUGAAGCAACGUCCAACUCGGUCAUCAGUGGUCCUUACUACAACACCCUUCGCAUGUUGGAGUGGAAGACCAAUGUCCUGAUUUUGUUCACCGGACUCUUGUUGGUAAUGGUCGGAAUGUUGAUAGGGAAAACCAUCUAAAAUGUCGUUGUAUGACUAACUGCUCUAGCUUCUGCGUAUGCUAAUUUUCCAAACUAAAUCGCCAUGACAAAUGUAUUUUCUAGUACAUGUAAAUUACUUACCCAAAAUUUGUGUCUAAAUUAGUAUUAUGCCAAAUUAAAGCUUUCUUUAUCA